CCCAAACCCAGAACGCUGACCCCGUUGGGCCCUCCCCACACCAGGCCCCCCGGGUUCCCGAGUUUCUCGCACCUUGUGGGCCCCGCGGAUGGCGGUGAUGCAGGCGGGGUCCACGAGGGGCUUGGGGCGCCGGGCCGACUCCUCGAGCAGCCCCUGCCACUGGCGGGGCAGCCCCGUGAAGCGCUGCUCCGAGGGGUCGUAGCCCGUGUGCACCCGGUGCUCGAAGUUGGACGGCGCCGAGAUCUCCACGCGCUUCUUCUUCUUGGAGAACAUGGCCCGGGCUGUGCUCCUGGAUUGGGGAAAAAAAUUCGGGUUUAGGGAGUGGGAAAUGGGGCUGGCAGCAGGAAUCCAGCUCUGGGAAUGGCCCGGGCUGUGCUCCUGGGAUGGGGAGAAAAUUCGGGUUUAGGGGGUGGGAAAUGGGGGUGGCAGCAGGAAUGGUGUUAGACCCCAAAAUCCAGCCCUGGGAACAAAAUCCAGCCCUGGGAAUGGGAAUGGUCCCCGAAAUCCAGCCCUGGAAAUGGGAGUGGUCCCCAAAAUCCAUCCCUGGGAAUGGGAAUGGUCCCCAAAAUCCAUCCCUGGGAAUGGUCCCCAAAAUCCAGCCCUGGGAAUGGGAAUGGUCCCUGAAAUCCAGCCCUGGGAAUGGGAAUGGUCCCCAAAAUCCAGCCCUGGGAACGGGAUCAGCCCCGAAAAUCCCGCUGCUGGAAUGGUUUUUAUCCAUCCACCAACCACUUCUAUCCAAAAUCCCCCCCUUUUAUCCAAUCGCUUCCCAUUUCUCCCCCAAAUCCAAGCUUGGAAGCACCAUAAAUUCCCACUUGGAAAUGGGAUUAAUCCAUUAACCCAACCUGAACCAACAAAGAGAUUUAAAGCACCUGAAAAAGCCACAAAAAAUCUGCUUUUUUUGGGAUCCCAGUGCCAGGAUCAGCGCUCUGGGGCACCAUGUGAGGGUUUGAUUUCAUUCCCUGUUUUUCCAUGUUUUUCCUGCACUUUCCAGGCCAAGAACGAGCUCAGCUGGGAGGGUUUUGGGCCUGUGAUCCCCGUGGGGGCACGAAUCCCACUGGGAAUGGCCCCAAAAUCCCACGGAUCCUGGGCAGGUCUGUUUUUCCCACUUUCACUGCUUUUCCUGGUGCCGAUUUCCCCGUUUCCUCCCAGUUUUUCCCAUUUUCCAGGCUCCAGAAUCCUGCUGCUUCCAAGGUUUUGUCACUGUUUUUUCCCAAUCUUUGAGGAUUUCUCCUUAAAACAGUGAUCCACCACAGAGUUUUCCUUCUCCUCCUCCUCCACUUCGACCCCAGCCAAAAGCUGUCAGAAUUCUGUGUUUUCUCUGUUUUCCCUGCUCAUCCCAGGCUGAUCCCUCCUUCCACCUUCCUGGGAAUCCUCUGGGGUUUGCCAAAAUCUCAUUUUCUGACGGAAAACUCUCCUGGUUUGGGGAAAUUGCAGCUGAGCUCGGGGUGGGAGGAUUAAAAUCUGCUGCCAGAAAAUUAAAAUUUGGGUUUUUCUCCAUGGGAAACAUCCGAGGGUGAACCAGCUCAGCCGGGAUGAGGUGCAGCACCCGUCACCUCUGGACACCAAAUCCACGGGAUUUCACCCCAAAACCUCUCUUUUUUUCCAGAUGGUUGUGGAAAUGUGGCGGCGCUUGGCAGGGGCAGAGGGGUCCUGAGGAAUUCCAGAGGGUGGGAUGGGGCCGGGAGGGGGUGAAGUUGUUCCUCAGCCAUUCCCAGGCCGCAUUCCUGGGAUCCCAGCGGCGCUUAAUUAGUCACCAAUUAACGAGGAACUGAACCUGCACCGGGCGGGAAUAACCUCCUGUUUUCCUUAAAAUUCCCAACAAAAUCCCACAAACUCCCCCUAUAAAUCAGCGGCAGUCAGGCUGUGUCCUGGUGGGAAUUGUACUCCCCACAAAGGGGUCAGAAUUCCUGGGAAAGCCGGGCUGGGAAGGGGCUGGAAUCCUGGGAAGGGGCUGAAAUCCUGGAAUUCCCACAAUUUGUCACAAUUCCCGGGAAAGCCAGGCCAGGAAUUCAGGAAUUCCCAGCGAGGGGUCAGAAUUGCAGGGAAAGCCAGGCCGGGGCCGGGGCGGGUUGGACUGGCCGGGCUGGAUCUGCAGGAGGAGGAGGAGGAGGAGGAGCAGCGCCGGCCUUUGCUCCGGAGGAAUCACGGAAUUCCAGGAAUCCGGAGCCUCCGAAGCUCAGGGGAACGGGGAAAAAAAAAUAAAUUAAAAAAAAAAAAUCCGGGAAGGGAACCA
Junco hyemalis (dark-eyed junco) is the source of this 2233-nucleotide long non-coding RNA. The record is from Ensembl. NCBI's taxonomy places the organism in Eukaryota, Metazoa, Chordata, Aves, Passeriformes, Passerellidae.